UACGUAGGGGGCAAGCGUUGUCCGGAUUUAUUGGGCGUAAAGAGCGUGUAGGCGGCUUGACGGGUCUGCUGUGAAAACUCGAGGCUCAACCUCGAGAUGUCGGCGGAAACCGUCUGGCUAGAGUCCGGAAGAGGAGAGUGGAAUUCCUGGUGUAGCGGUGAAAUGCGCAGAUAUCAGGAAGAACACCUAUGGCGAAGGCAGCUCUCUGGGACGGUACUGACGCUGAGACGCGAAAGCGUGGGGAGCGAACAGG
Molecule: ribosomal RNA, 253 nt
Filed under: uncultured bacterium
Lineage: Bacteria
Description: partial 16S ribosomal RNA
Rfam family: Bacterial small subunit ribosomal RNA
Source: RNAcentral